GCUUUAGUCCGCAGACGUUCAGCUGCUAUUGUUCCAUUUGCCAAAUUAGAUCAAUCAAGUGAAAUUCAAAAAGUUAGAGCUACUAUAUUUUCACUUUGGAAAGUCAAGAAUAGGCAGUCUGGCUUUGUUAUAGAAAUGGUAUUGGUUGACGAAGAGGGCACUAGGAUUCACGCUACUGUUGAUGAAGAAUUGAUCGCAAAACGUAAAGGGAUCCUUAUAGAAGGAAAACCACUUUCUAUUAAUUGCUUCAUAAUUAAAGAAUACUAUGGUGAUUUUAGGACGACUCUAUUACCAUACAAGAUCGCUUUGUGUAAGACAACCCGUGCUAAGGAGAUUAAUGAUUUUCCAUCAGAUUUGCCAGAGAAAUAUUUGUCUGAUUUCAAGUCAAUCAAAGAAGACAAACUCGACAAAAACGUCCUCAUCGAUGUCAUUGGACAAAUUGUCACCAUUGGGAGUAUGGAAGUUAUAAAAACUAAAGGAAAAAGUGGGAUCAGCGAGAAAUUGAUGAUAACAUUCCGGGAUACCAACGAUGUCCAACUGAAAUGUACACUAUGGGGACAAUAUGCUAAAUCAAUUGUUGAGUACACUAUUGCUAUUGUUGUGUGUGUAAUGCGAUUUGUCUGUAUAAAAGAGUACAAAGGUGACAUUUCAAUAUCAAACGCUUUCAACUCCACCAAAAUUUUGUUUGAUCCUGACAUCAAGAUCGUGAAAGACUUCAGAGAAAAGUUGCCAAAAAACAAUCAAAUGAUUGUGCAUGCUGAACAGAGUUAUUCGACUUCUUGGGGUGGUGCUAUUGACUACCGUGAAGAAUUUUUAGGUGUGAAAAAUAGGAGGCGGACAAUAGCUGGAAUUCGUGAUACAAAAGUGCCUGGCAAGAUUGUAACAUGCGUUACGGUCAAAGACGUUGAUACUUCAAAGCUGUGGUAUUAUUGGGCAUGCAAACCUUGCAACAUCAAAGUUUUAAAGCAUGGAAUUAUGUCUGAUGAUGAAGAUUACGAUAAGAGGAUUCCUCUUUUCAGUUGCAAAAAUUGUGGUGAUAUUUAUUCAUAUGAUAUCAUCGUCGCAAGGUACUACAUUGUAUUAUUUGUAACUGAUGAUUCAGAUGUUGAUGUCCGCUUCCUGAUGUUUGAUGACACAGCUCAAAGAUUGUUAGGUCAUUUAGCUGAGUCUAUAAUAGAACAAUAUGAUGAGGAUUUACCAAGAGGGCUCCCUGAUGGCUUGAAAAAUCUCCUAACUAUGAGGAUGCUUUUCAAAAUAACAAUUUCAGAAGAACAUACAAAAUGAAGCCAGUCUCCGUAUGUAGUAGAACUAUAGUCUCAAGAUGUCGACAUUAUGACUGAGUGGAAUUCUCGAUCAGAGACGAACUUGAGAAUCCAUCGUCUGGAUCUUCACUCACUCCUUCUUCUAAGAAGGUAAUUAAGAGUCCCGACUAUUUGGAUGAAGGUGAAAGAUCUGUUAAGAAAAAGCGACCGAAGCAAGAGAUCCCAAUGAAGUUAUGAAGAAGCAAGAAAUCGUAAUGAACUUAUUGCAGAAAUGCAUUGCUGGUGAUUGAUUAUUGCUUUUGAUAUUUGUAACCAAUUUGUCCAAUGGGUGGAUAACGUUUAAACUCUAUUCGUUAUUUUGUUUGCGGUAUUUGUGGAACUUCGUGGAACAUUAAUGUUG
Eutrema salsugineum is the source of this 1662-nucleotide RNA transcript. RefSeq lists it as uncharacterized. The transcript is spliced from 10 exons. The record is from RefSeq and is a predicted model, not a curated record. Lineage: Eukaryota; Viridiplantae; Streptophyta; Magnoliopsida; Brassicales; Brassicaceae.